Molecule: ribosomal RNA, 253 nt
Filed under: uncultured bacterium
Lineage: Bacteria
Description: partial 16S ribosomal RNA
Rfam family: Bacterial small subunit ribosomal RNA
Source: RNAcentral
UACGUAGGGUGCGAGCGUUGCCCGGAUUUAUUGGGCGUAAAGGGCGCGCAGGCGGCUCGGCACGUCCGUUGUGAAAUCGCCCGGCUCAACUGGGCGGGGUCAGCGGAUACGGUCGAGCUUGAGCAAGCUAGGGGGCAAUGGAAUUCCCGGUGUAGUGGUGGAAUGCGUAGAGAUCGGGAAGAACAUCAGUGGCGAAGGCGGCCUGCUGGGCUGUUGCUGACGCUGAGGCGCGACAGCGUGGGGAGCAAACAGG